AUAUUUAUAGUAUAAAAAGUACAAAUAAUUUCCAAUUAUAGAGUUUUAAUUUUUAAAUAAAUAUA
RNAcentral lists this transfer RNA (65 nucleotides) under Ooencyrtus plautus. Its description in RNAcentral is "tRNA-Gly". The record is from RNAcentral. Lineage: Eukaryota; Metazoa; Arthropoda; Insecta; Hymenoptera; Encyrtidae.